RNAcentral lists this ribosomal RNA (463 nucleotides) under uncultured bacterium. RNAcentral describes it as "bacterial SSU rRNA". It matches the Rfam family "Bacterial small subunit ribosomal RNA", at positions 26 to 507 of the family's 1533-position model. The record is from RNAcentral.
AGGACGAACGCUGGCGGCGCGCUUAAUACAUGCAAGUCGAACGGGAAGCCAGAGCUUGCUCUGGUGGAAAGUGGCGAACGGGUGAGUAACACGUGAGAAACCUGCCCCAAAGAUUGGGAUAAGCCUUGGAAACGAGGUCUAAUACCAAAUACCUUCUUUUAACUCAUGUUAAAAAGAGAAAUGCUCCGGCGCUUUGGGAUGGUCUCGCGAUCUAUCAGCUUGUUGGUGAGGUAACGGCUCACCAAGGCAUCGACGGAUAGCUGGUCUGAGAGGAUGUCCAGCCACAUUGGAACUGAGACACGGUCCAAACUCCUACGGGAGGCAGCAGUAGGGAAUCUUGCACAAUGAGGGAAACCUUGAUGCAGCGACGCCGCGUGCGGGACGAAGGCCCUAGGGUUGUAAACCGCUUUCAGUAGGGACGAAAGUGACGGUACCUACAGAAGAAGCCCCGGCCAACUAUGUG